AGCUUUAUAGUCAUUAAUGAUAUUAGACUGCAAUUCUAAAGGAGUAAUUUUACUAAAGCUU
Molecule: transfer RNA, 61 nt
Filed under: Thelaira macropus
Lineage: Eukaryota; Metazoa; Arthropoda; Insecta; Diptera; Tachinidae
Description: tRNA-Cys
Source: RNAcentral